RNAcentral lists this long non-coding RNA (214 nucleotides) under Paramuricea clavata. The record is from RNAcentral. Lineage: Eukaryota; Metazoa; Cnidaria; Anthozoa; Malacalcyonacea; Plexauridae.
AUAGAAACAAAUUUUAUAACUUUAAAAGUAGAACUGAUCGUUUUAAGAACAGUCCACUAGUCUAUGCUAUUGAUAAAUACAAUAAUAAUAUAUAAUGUUCUUACUAGAUGUAAAUAGAUAUAGUUUUAAUAACAUUUUAAUAGAAUAGUAGUAGUACCUAAUAUGUAAAUACAUGACAAUUAAGUUAUCUUAUUCCAUGUAUACUAUUAAAACC